RNAcentral lists this ribosomal RNA (484 nucleotides) under uncultured bacterium. RNAcentral describes it as "partial 16S ribosomal RNA". It matches the Rfam family "Bacterial small subunit ribosomal RNA", at positions 30 to 507 of the family's 1533-position model. The record is from RNAcentral.
AUUGAACGCUGGCGGAAUGCUUUACACAUGCAAGUCGAACGGCAGCACGGGGGCAACCCUGGUGGCGAGUGGCGAACGGGUGAGUAAUACAUCGGAACGUGCCCGGUCGUGGGGGAUAACGUAGCGAAAGUUACGCUAAUACCGCAUACGAUCUGAGGAUAAAAGCGGGGGACCUUCGGGCCUCGCGCGAUCGGAGCGGCCGAUGUCAGAUUAGGUAGUUGGUGGGGUAAAGGCCUACCAAGCCGACGAUCUGUAGCUGGUCUGAGAGGACGACCAGCCACACUGGGACUGAGACACGGCCCAGACUCCUACGGGAGGCAGCAGUGGGGAAUUUUGGACAAUGGGCGCAAGCCUGAUCCAGCCAUUCCGCGUGCAGGACGAAGGCCUUCGGGUUGUAAACUGCUUUUGUAUGGAACGAAAAGGCUCUGGCUAAUACCUGGGGCUCAUGACGGUACCGUAAGAAUAAGCACCGGCUAACUACGUG